This 69-nucleotide transfer RNA is filed under the name Rhinella cf. typhonius KU 215145. Its description in RNAcentral is "tRNA-Val". It matches the Rfam family "tRNA". Rfam says of the family: Transfer RNA (tRNA) molecules are approximately 80 nucleotides in length. The record is from RNAcentral. Lineage: Eukaryota; Metazoa; Chordata; Amphibia; Anura; Bufonidae. RNAcentral also lists the same sequence under 3 other names.
CGUAAUGUAGCUUAAUUAAAGCAUCUCGCUUACACCGAGAAAAUGUCUGUGAAAAUCGAACCUUUACGA